Molecule: ribosomal RNA, 429 nt
Filed under: Actinomycetes bacterium
Lineage: Bacteria; Bacillati; Actinomycetota; Actinomycetes
Description: Actinobacteria bacterium partial 16S ribosomal RNA
Rfam family: Bacterial small subunit ribosomal RNA
Source: RNAcentral
UAGGGAAUCUUCCGCAAUGGGCGAAAGCCUGACGGAGCAACGCCGCGUGAGUGAUGAAGGUCUUCGGAUCGUAAAACUCUGUUAUUAGGGAAGAACAAAUGUGUAAGUAACUAUGCACGUCUUGACGGUACCUAAUCAGAAAGCCACGGCUAACUACGUGCCAGCAGCCGCGGUAAUACGUAGGUGGCAAGCGUUAUCCGGAAUUAUUGGGCGUAAAGCGCGCGUAGGCGGUUUUUUAAGUCUGAUGUGAAAGCCCACGGCUCAACCGUGGAGGGUCAUUGGAGACUGGAAAACUUGAGUGCAGAAGAGGAAAGUGGAAUUCCAUGUGUAGCGGUGAAAUGCGCAGAGAUAUGGAGGAACACCAGUGGCGAAGGCGACUUUCUGGUCUGUAACUGACGCUGAUGUGCGAAAGCGGGGGGAUCAAACAGG